This 509-nucleotide ribosomal RNA is filed under the name Chrysolina haemoptera. RNAcentral's name for it is "16S ribosomal RNA". The record is from RNAcentral. Lineage: Eukaryota; Metazoa; Arthropoda; Insecta; Coleoptera; Chrysomelidae.
UGUAAAAUUUUAAAGGUCGAACAGACCUAAUAUUUUAGCUUCUACACCAAAAAUUAAUUUUAAUCCAACAUCGAGGUCGCAAUCUUUUUUUUUAAUAUGAACUCUUUAAAAAAAUUACGCUGUUAUCCCUAAGGUAAUUAUAUCUUAUAAUCAAAAAUAUUGGRUCAUUUAUUCAUAAAUUUAUGUUAAAAAAUAAAAAAAGUUUAUUAAAUUUUUCAAUCACCCCAAUUAAAUUAUUAAAGAAAAUAUAUAAAUUAAUUCUAAAAUAUAAUUUUUAAUUAAUAAUAAAACUCUAUAGGGUCUUCUCGUCUUUUAAUUUUAAUUAAGCUUUUUAACUUAAAAAUAAAGUUAUAAUAAAAUUUAAUAGAGACAGUCAUUUUCUUAUCCAACCUUUCAUUCCAGUUUUUAAUUAAAAAACUAAUGAUUAUGCUACCUUAGCACGGUCAAAAUACCACGGCCAUUUAAAUUUUCAGUGGGCAGGCUAGACCUUAAAUUAUUAACAAAAGGAC